RNAcentral lists this ribosomal RNA (431 nucleotides) under uncultured bacterium. Its description in RNAcentral is "bacterial SSU rRNA". It matches the Rfam family "Bacterial small subunit ribosomal RNA", at positions 29 to 506 of the family's 1533-position model. The record is from RNAcentral.
GCGAACGCUGGCGGCAGGCCUAACACAUGCAAGUCGAACGGAUCCUUCGGGAUUAGUGGCGGACGGGUGAGUAACACGUGGGAACGUGCCUUUUGGUUCGGAAUAGCUCCUGGAAACGGGUGGUAAUGCCGAAUGUGCCCUUCGGGGGAAAGAUUUAUCGCCAUUAGAGCGGCCCGCGUCUGAUUAGCUAGUUGGUGAGGUAAAGGCUCACCAAGGCUACGAUCAGUAGCUGGUCUGAGAGGAUGACCAGCCACAUUGGGACUGAGACACGGCCCAAACUCCUACGGGAGGCAGCAGUGGGGAAUCUUGCGCAAUGGGCGAAAGCCUGACGCAGCCAUGCCGCGUGAAUGAUGAAGGUCUUAGGAUUGUAAAAUUCUUUCACCGGGGACGAUAAUGACGGUACCCGGAGAAGAAGCCCCGGCUAACUUCGU